The sequence is a small nuclear RNA, 113 nucleotides long. Its record names the gene U2. It matches the Rfam family "U2 spliceosomal RNA". From Rfam's summary of the family: U2 is a small nuclear RNA (snRNA) component of the spliceosome (involved in pre-mRNA splicing). Complementary binding between U2 snRNA (in an area lying towards the 5' end but 3' to hairpin I) and the branchpoint sequence (BPS) of the intron results the bulging out of an unpaired adenosine, on the BPS, which initiates a nucleophilic attack at the intronic 5' splice site, thus starting the first of two transesterification reactions that mediate splicing. The record is from Ensembl.
AUCGCUUCUCGGCCUUUUGGCUAAGAUCAAGUGAAGUAUGUUCUGUGGUAUCUAAAUAGGCAAAAAAUUUUGGUAGUUUAAAAAUAUAAAAAUAAAAAUAUUUGGCAGCUUCU